This 502-nucleotide ribosomal RNA is filed under the name uncultured bacterium. RNAcentral describes it as "partial 16S ribosomal RNA". It matches the Rfam family "Bacterial small subunit ribosomal RNA", at positions 28 to 507 of the family's 1533-position model. The record is from RNAcentral.
GAUUAACGCUGGCGGCGUGCCUAACACAUGCAAGUCGAGCGGCAGCGAGUUUUACACUGAAUUCUGGAAGCUUCUAGUUGCAAGAGAAGAUUUAUUCAAGAAUUUUUUGUAAAAUGUCGGCGAGCGGCGGACGGCUGAGUAACGCGUGGGAACGUACCCCAAAGUGAGGGAUAACGCAUCGAAAGGUGUGCUAAUACCGCAUAUGGUCUUCGGAUUAAAGCCUUCGGGCGCUUUGGGAACGGCCUGCGUAAGAUUAGAUAGUUGGUGGGGUAAUGGCCUACCAAGUCGACGAUCUUUAACUGGUUUGAGAGGAUGAUCAGUCAGACUGGAACUGAGACACGGUCCAGACUCCUACGGGAGGCAGCAGUGAGGAAUCUUCCACAAUGGGCGAAAGCCUGAUGGAGCAACGCCGUGUGCAGGAUGAAGGCCUUCGGGUUGUAAACUGCUUUUAUAAGUGAGGAUUAUGACAGUAACUGAUGAAUAAGGAUCGGCUAACUACGUG